Molecule: long non-coding RNA, 932 nt
Filed under: Trifolium pratense (red clover)
Lineage: Eukaryota; Viridiplantae; Streptophyta; Magnoliopsida; Fabales; Fabaceae
Description: long non-coding RNA (TPRA_LNC001316)
Source: RNAcentral
UGGACAACGGGCCGGGUUGGGUCGGUAUGAGCCCAAAACCUCAAACCGGCCCAAUCCACGGGUGGGGAAAUGCAACCCAAAUUGAACCAUUUUAGGGCUUCGGUUAUGUCGGGUUCGGGUAAUUCGGUUUGCGGGUUGCACGACUGGGUUUAUGCGGGUAAGAACAAGCAACCGGCAAAAGAAAUUUGCAAAUCCAGAAGAAAAAAAUUCAGAAGAAAGAACGUUUAAAAUCAAAUAUAGUAGUAAUAUCUUCUCCAGCAAAAGAAAAAUAACAGAUCCAGAUCUACAAAAAAACAAAAUCAAACAAAUUAAAGUAGUGAGAAACAUAUACAGAUAUGCAAAUAGAUGGAGUAUGUUGUUUUGUUCUCGUUAUUCACAGCAAAAUAUUGUCUAAAACAUUGAGAGUAGAAAAGAAAAUUAUGUAGUGAAGAAAAACAAAUAAAGAGAGAAGAAUUCAUUAAAAGAAAAGAGAGUCCAAAAAAUUAGAAGGGGAAUUCAUUAGAGUGAUGUCUUGAGUCUUGAAAGAAAGAACUUGUAGUUGGAUUUGAAAGUUGAAAUUGAAAGUAGAGUUUUGUGAGGAAGGAUACAUUGGAACUCAGCUAUACAGUACUUUUUAAUUUAGGCCAAAUACACGUGAAGGGAAAGUAGUAGUAGUACAUUGGAACACAGAAGCAAUUAAAUGAGGUGUACUGAUUGUGGGUCUCAAGGCACUAGGAAACCUGUAAAAGCUGGCAUAAUAAUAAUAUUAAUACUAAAUAAUGAUAAUAACGUAGCAGCAAUGGGUCGGUUCGGUUUUCGAUGGAUCAAUUUUUGUCACCCGAAACCGACCGAGUCAACUCAGCUGGACUCGAAUUUUGAACUUUUUUCACCCGUGACCCGUUUAAAACCAUCCGUUUCAUCAAUAUUCGGUUCGGAUUAAGCGGGUCCUGGAC